RNAcentral lists this ribosomal RNA (266 nucleotides) under uncultured Lachnospiraceae bacterium. RNAcentral describes it as "partial 16S ribosomal RNA". It matches the Rfam family "Bacterial small subunit ribosomal RNA", at positions 66 to 339 of the family's 1533-position model. The record is from RNAcentral. Lineage: Bacteria; Bacillati; Bacillota; Clostridia; Lachnospirales; Lachnospiraceae.
ACUGGAUCUGGAUUCCCAUCUAGUGGCAGACGGGUGAGUAACACGUGGGUAACCUGCCUCAUACAGGGGGAUAACAGUUGGAAACGACUGCUAAUACCGCAUAAGCGCACAGGGUCGCAUGGUACGGUGUGAAAAACUCCGGUGGUGUGAGAUGGACCCGCGUCUGAUUAGCUAGUUGGCAGGGCAACGGCCUACCAAGGCGACGAUCAGUAGCCGACCUGAGAGGGUGACCGGCCACAUUGGAACUGAGACACGGUCCAGACUCC